GCUUACACAUGCAGUCGAACGCGAAAGGGACUUCGGUCCUGAGUAAAGUGGCGCACGGGUGAGUAACGCGUAGAUAACCUGUCUUCUUGUCUGGAAUAAUACGCCGAAAGGGGUACUAAUACCGGAUAUUCUUGCUUUAUAUAAGUUUUGCAAGGAAAGGUGGCCUCUGCAUAUGCUACUGCAGGAAGAGGGGUCUGCGUACCAUUAGCUAGUAGGUGGGGUAAUGGCCCACCUAGGCGACGGUGGUUAGCGGGUCUGAGAGGAUGAUCCGCCACACUGGCACUGGAACACGGGCCAGACUCCUACGGGAGGCAGCAGUGAGGAAUAUUGCGCAAUGGGGGCAACCCUGACGCAGCGACGCCGCGUGAGUGAGGAAGGCCUUCGGGUCGUAAAGCUCUGUCAAAGGGAAAGAAGUGCAUGGUGGCUAAUACCUGCCAUGUUUGACGGUACCCUUAAAGGAAGCACCGGCUAACUCCGUGCCAGCAGCCGCGGUAAUACGGAGGGUGCAAGCGUUGUUCGGAAUUACUGGGCGUAAAGGGCGCGUAGGCGGUUUGAUAAGUCAGAUGUGAAAGCCCAUGGCUUAACUGUGGAAGUGCAUUUGAAACUGUCAGACUUGAGUACCAGAGGGGAAAGUGGAAAUUCCCGG
Molecule: ribosomal RNA, 646 nt
Filed under: uncultured bacterium
Lineage: Bacteria
Description: bacterial SSU rRNA
Rfam family: Bacterial small subunit ribosomal RNA
Source: RNAcentral